UACGGGGGGGGCAAGCGUUGUUCGGAAUUACUGGGCGUAAAGGGCUCGUAGGCGGCCAACUAAGUCAGACGUGAAAUCCCCAGGCUCAACCUGGGAACUGCGUCUGAUACUGGAUGGCUUGAGUUCGGGAGAGGGAUGCGGAAUUCCAGGUGUAGCGGUGAAAUGCGUAGAUAUCUGGAGGAACACCGGUGGCGAAGGCGGCAUCCUGGACCGAUACUGACACUGAGGAGCGAAAGCCAGGGGAGCAAACGGG
Molecule: ribosomal RNA, 253 nt
Filed under: uncultured bacterium
Lineage: Bacteria
Description: partial 16S ribosomal RNA
Rfam family: Bacterial small subunit ribosomal RNA
Source: RNAcentral